RNAcentral lists this ribosomal RNA (405 nucleotides) under Triticum aestivum (bread wheat). Its description in RNAcentral is "partial small subunit ribosomal RNA". Lineage: Eukaryota; Viridiplantae; Streptophyta; Magnoliopsida; Poales; Poaceae. The record is from RNAcentral.
AUGCAAUCCCUACUGAAGGAGAUAACUAAGGAAAUGUCGCCUGUACAACUGCCGCAAGACCGUCCAGACCUUGUGGCAAGAGUAUACAGAGCUAAACAGCAAAGUAUGAUGGACCUACUAAUUAAGGGUAAACAUUUCGGAGAAGUUGCGGCUUAUGUACAUGUCACCGAGUUUCAGAAACGAGGUCUCCCUCAUGAGCAUAUACUUUUAAUCAUGAAAGCCAAAAGAAAGUUAAGGACCCCAGAUGACUAUGAUCGGGUGAUAUCUACAGAGAUACCCGACAAGAAGAAAUAUAAUGUUCUCCAUGAUCUGGUAGUCAAACACAUGUUGCACGGACUAUGUGGUGCAUUGAAAAAGAGUUGCCCUUGCAUGAUAGAUGGACAAUGUCGGUUUCAUUACCCAUGA